This is a non-coding RNA of Pelobates cultripes (western spadefoot toad), 297 nucleotides long. Lineage: Eukaryota; Metazoa; Chordata; Amphibia; Anura; Pelobatidae. The record is from the annotation of a GenBank genome assembly.
CCCGCCCUCCUGCCUCUCAGUCCGUGCGUGCCGUUCUCUCUGCCUCUGGCCGCACGGACUGUGUGUAUAUACACAAAUCGGCGGUCACGUGACCCGGCACUACAUGUCCCAUGGUGCAUUGCGGGUCACGUGACACGCACGAAAAUGCACAUUUCAUUUAACCCUUCUUUUUAUAUAAAUUAAUGCUCGUUUUUGAUUUACUUUUACAUACUUACCAUCUUAUGUUUAUAUACACUCAUAUUUUAUACCAAUUUUUAUCUUUUGUAUGUAAACUCUUUAUUUACAUUUUGGACUAUU